This 404-nucleotide ribosomal RNA is filed under the name Actinomycetes bacterium. RNAcentral's name for it is "Actinobacteria bacterium partial 16S ribosomal RNA". It matches the Rfam family "Bacterial small subunit ribosomal RNA", at positions 355 to 776 of the family's 1533-position model. Lineage: Bacteria; Bacillati; Actinomycetota; Actinomycetes. The record is from RNAcentral.
UGGGGAAUAUUGGACAAUGGGCGCAAGCCUGAUCCAGCCAUGCCGCGUGAGUGAUGAAGGCCCUAGGGUUGUAAAGCCCUUUCACCGGUGAAGAUAAUGACGGUAACCGGAGAAGAAGCCCCGGCUAACUUCGUGCCAGCAGCCGCGGUAAUACGAAGGGGGCUAGCGUUGUUCGGAUUUACUGGGCGUAAAGCGCACGUAGGCGGACUUUUAAGUCAGGGGUGAAAUCCCGGGGCUCAACCCCGGAACUGCCUUUGAUACUGGAAGUCUUGAGUAUGGUAGAAGUGAGUGGAAUUCCGAGUGUAGAGGUGAAAUUCGGAAAUAUUCGGAGGAACACCAGUGGCGAAGGCGGCUCACUGGACCAUUACUGACGCUGAGGUGCGAAAGCGUGGGGAGCAAACAGG